RNAcentral lists this ribosomal RNA (253 nucleotides) under uncultured bacterium. RNAcentral describes it as "partial 16S ribosomal RNA". It matches the Rfam family "Bacterial small subunit ribosomal RNA", at positions 524 to 776 of the family's 1533-position model. The record is from RNAcentral.
GACAGAGGGUGCGAACGUUGUUCGGAAUUACUGGGCGUAAAGCGCAUGUAGGCGGCAGCGCAAGUCGGGCGUGAAAUCCCACGGCUCAACCGUGGAAGUGCACUCGAAACUGCGCAGCUAGAGUCCUGGAGAGGAAGGUGGAAUGUUUGGUGUAGAGGUGAAAUUCGUAGAUAUCAAGCGGAACACCGGUGGCGAAGGCGGCCUUCUGGACAGUGACUGACGCUGAGAUGCGAAAGCGUGGGGAGCAAACAGG